This 84-nucleotide transfer RNA is filed under the name Rhizopogon vesiculosus. It matches the Rfam family "tRNA". Rfam says of the family: Transfer RNA (tRNA) molecules are approximately 80 nucleotides in length. Their secondary structure includes four short double-helical elements and three loops (D, anti-codon, and T loops). Further hydrogen bonds mediate the characteristic L-shaped molecular structure. tRNAs have two regions of fundamental functional importance: the anti-codon, which is responsible for specific mRNA codon recognition, and the 3' end, to which the tRNAs corresponding amino acid is attached (by aminoacyl-tRNA synthetases). tRNAs cope with the degeneracy of the genetic code in two manners: having more than one tRNA (with a specific anti-codon) for a particular amino acid; and 'wobble' base-pairing, i.e. permitting non-standard base-pairing at the 3rd anti-codon position. Lineage: Eukaryota; Fungi; Basidiomycota; Agaricomycetes; Boletales; Rhizopogonaceae. The record is from Rfam by way of RNAcentral.
GGCGAUAUAGUGUAGUGGUUAUCACUCGGGAUUCUGAUUCUUUCACAACUUCCCGAAACCCAGGUUCGAGCCCUGGUAUCGCCU